UGGACGAAAGUCUGACCGAGCAACGCCGCGUGAGUGAAGAAGGUUUUCGGAUCGUAAAGCUCUGUUGUAAGAGAAGAACGAGUGUGAGAGUGGAAAGUUCACACUGUGACGGUAUCUUACCAGAAAGGGACGGCUAACUACGUGCCAGCAGCCGCGGUAAU
This 161-nucleotide ribosomal RNA is filed under the name uncultured Streptococcus sp. RNAcentral's name for it is "partial 16S ribosomal RNA". It matches the Rfam family "Bacterial small subunit ribosomal RNA", at positions 372 to 524 of the family's 1533-position model. Lineage: Bacteria; Bacillati; Bacillota; Bacilli; Lactobacillales; Streptococcaceae. The record is from RNAcentral.